This 463-nucleotide ribosomal RNA is filed under the name uncultured Lactobacillus sp. Its description in RNAcentral is "bacterial SSU rRNA". It matches the Rfam family "Bacterial small subunit ribosomal RNA", at positions 9 to 437 of the family's 1533-position model. The record is from RNAcentral. Lineage: Bacteria; Bacillati; Bacillota; Bacilli; Lactobacillales; Lactobacillaceae.
GAGUUUGAUCGUGGCUCAGGACGAACGCUGGCGGCGUGCCUAAUACAUGCAAGUCGAACGAGUCCUCCCAAUUUGAUUUUAUUGCUUGCAUAAAUGAUUUUUUGGAUUCGGGACGAGUGGCGAACUGGUGAGUAACACGUGGGUAACCUGCCCUAAAGCAGGGGAUAACAUUUGGAAACAGAUGCUAAUACCGUAUAAUUAGUUGGAACCACAUGGUUCCAACUUGAAAGAUGGCUCUGCUAUCACUUUAGGAUGGACCCGCGGCGUAUUAGCUAGUUGGUGAGAUAAAAGCUCACCAAGGCGAUGAUACGUAGCCGACCUGAGAGGGUAAUCGGCCACAUUGGGACUGAGACACGGCCAGACUCCUACGGGAGGCAGCAGUAGGGAAUCUUCCACAAUGGACGCAAGUCUGAUGGAGCAACGCCGCGUGAGUGAAGAAGGGUUUCGGCUCGUAACUACUGUU